Long non-coding RNA from Lagopus muta (rock ptarmigan), 5378 nucleotides. RefSeq lists it as uncharacterized. NCBI's taxonomy places the organism in Eukaryota, Metazoa, Chordata, Aves, Galliformes, Phasianidae. The transcript is spliced from 4 exons. The record is from RefSeq and is a predicted model, not a curated record.
UGCUGGCAGUGCUGCCCGCCCCGGGGCGGACGGCAGCCUCGUGCGGGAUGUGAACACCUCCCCUCCGGCUCUGCGCAGCGCUGCCCUGCGGGGGGUGUCCAGUAGGGUGUCCGGUACCCACAGAUUGAAGCUGAAGGCCGUGCACGCGUUCUGUACUCAGGAAUGAUGUAUUGUAAAUGAUCAGAAGUCUUAAAUGCAUUACACUAAGAACAAUCUGUUGCUGACAAUCUUGGAAGAAAGCAAAACAGGCUUAGACAGAGUUCUGCAGCCUUAGCUCAUCUCAAUGAGCCACUUAAAAGCUAUUACAAAUAAACUUCAGAGCAGUGCAACCUAUCUACUGGAUUCCAUAUUACUCAAGACCUACUGAGAGACAUAACUGAAGAAUGAUUCUGCAAUAUGAGUUUUCAUGUUAAUGAUGCCACCCUGCCGUAGCACUGAACAAGUUUCAACAUUUGAAUGCCUCCCUGCGGAGUCUCUCUGUUGCUGUGUGAUCAGACAUACAGAAUGGAAAAAUAAACAUGGAUAGAUUGAAUGAUAAAUCGUGGAAAAGAACAGGAUUUAUCCUUAUUAAGUCGCCAGCAGGAUCCCCAGUUCCACCAUCCCACAGUCACAUUGGACACAGUUGCUUCCACCCUUCACACACCAACCAAUUAUUCCAUGUUUGGAGGUGUGAAGUCCAGCAAAACACCUUCCCUCACCAACUCCUUGAUCCUGUGUUAAGGAGUGGUCCUCAAUGCAUUCCCAAAAACUGACUGGAUUGCCUACGCCCUGCUGUGUUGCUGCUUCUACAAGAUACUAAGGUACUGAGCUAUUCCACAUCCAAUAUCACAGUUAAAUCACAACCCUACAAUUGCAUGCAGACCUCUAAUUCAUCCUUUUUAUUCUCCACAGUCACUUUGCAGAGGUAUUUAGUCCUACAGAUUCCCCAGGAUGUUUGAGAACUUCCCCCAUCAUGCUGCCAUUUUACUGUUUCCUUAUUUUAGUGCAUAUAUCUGAGGUGGGUUCCCUCCAGCUGUAUUCAUUAGAGGAUCUCUUGUCUCCAUCAGCCUAUACCUUCUGCUUGCUAGUUUACCAUUUCCUUACUUUAUUUCGGGUAUUGUCACUUUUAGUGUAAGUCUCUCCUCACCACAUUGGUCAGCCUGUUGGCAGACAUAUUUCUGGGCUGACUUGGGCUGGUGGAACCCAUCUCCUCCUAGGAGUUCUUAAUCCACAAAGACAGUCCCUUGGUCAUAAAACCCAAAUCCCUGCUGCUGAUAUCAGCUGGGCAACUAACUGGUUACUGACAUGAAUGGUCUAUUCCUUUUCAUAGUAAGGAAAGGCUCAAAGAUCAAGAAAAAACACUUGGUCUCCUGUGCCUUUGUCUCUCACUCUGAAAGCCUUUUAAUUGUGUUUGAAAAACUCCAGGUAACCCUUGGCUAUAUCCAUUAGUCUUACGUGAAAGAGGUAUAGGGUUCAGGUGCCUGAUGAUGAAACACACUGCGUGUAGUCUCUCCAGAACAUCCCUCUCCUGAGUUGCCAAGAAGCAGCAAGCCUCCUUAAGAUAACAGCUCAGAUGGUGGCCUCUGUCCCCUGCAGGAAGCAGCCUCCCUACUACUAUCACUUGAUGUUCACACCUAGUGCUGUGCUGUACAGAGCUUCUAGCCACUUGUUUUCUUUCAGUGCAAUGAACUUAUGUGACAAAUGCAUAUAUGCAUGAGAUACAGGAAUCUCCUUUGGUGUCAGAAGCCAUGAGCUCCCUCCCUUCGCUACUGUGGAGAUCUCCAUUUUGCAGCCUGACAUGCAUUCUUCCUGCCCCUCUUUCAAUAUACACAGGGCUCUUGAAUCUUCAGGCUCUUGCAGAAGAUCCUGUCCAUCUCCUUCUAGUUAUUUCUGAUGCUGUGCAGCCUGCUGAACCUCUUCCACUUGUCUUUUGCUUGGUGGAAGCAAGUUUUCCACCACUGCACCAUUUGGAGGGCAAGGACACUACUUUCUCCUGAUCUACUGGUAUGCCCAAGCAUCCCAGCAGUGCAAGAACUGAAACUCUCAGGAACUUGGCCUAAACUGAGGGCUCUGAUGAGCAAGAUGCAGUUGCUCCAGUGGUAGGGAUCAUGCCCUGUGGCACAUCACCACCAUUCUUAAGCACAUUUGUGCUGCCCUCAGUUUCCAGUCCCCUUCUGUGUGAACUGAGCACCUAUAUCUGUUGGCUGCCUCCCAGCUGUACUCUCUUAUAAAAGAAAUAAAAAAAAAGUGAGAAAAAAAGUGUACAUGCUAUUAAAAUAAUGAUGUUUCAGUAAUUAUAAGAGAAACACCACCUUAAUCUUGCUACUGCUGCUUCGUAACUCCUUCACCAGACUGGUCAAGUUCAACAAUUCAGCAGAAAAAGCUGAAAAAACAAGAGCCAGUCUUGAUUGUUUAGCGAGCUAAACAAGCCUGGAGCAAUACACGUGAAAGGGAAAAUGCAGGGUUGUGAAUAGGAUCAGAAUCUACUCUUUUCAAUUACAAGCUGUUGAUCCAGUCACUUUUACUGCAACUGAAAGCCCAUAUACUCGUUAGUGCUGCAUAAACAGAUACUGUUGUUAACUCAGCUACUUGGAGAUGGAAGAUGCUUCAUCAUCUGUGUGAAUUUUCAAGACAAACCACAUUAUUGGCAUUUCUGAAAUUUAUUGCUGCUUACUGUACUUUGUUUACCCAUAUAAAUGACAGAAAACUAGACUGAGCAGAGUACAAACUACUAUGGCAAUUUUAUGUACAAAAUGAUUUUACAACAAAGUUAGUAUUUGGUACCUCCUGAUACAGUAAGUUCUGUUAAUUCAUGUUUAUUCUGUCACUAGCAUACUGGCAGUUAAAAUAACAACAACUUAAAAAAGAUUCCUUAAGCCUACUAGUUCUUCUAGCCAAAAGUCAAAGACACAGACAAGCUUAGAGCUUAGGUAUCAGCCCCAAAAAAUUACCAUUAAAGUCCUAUUGGAUUAACAUCAAACAGUCAACCUCCUCUUGUAUCAGGGGAUUAACCCUUAGCAUUGUUAUAGAAGUUUGCAUUCUCACACUACAAGCAAGGUUAGGAGACACUUAAGUUUUUAAGCAAUCUUAAUGAAGAUACCAAAUUCCUCUUUGUGUAAGAGUUUGAUAUGCAUCUAACUUCAUUCAAGUUCUCAUAGGUUAUUAAAGCACUUAAGAGAUUUUGCUUUUUAACUAGUCCUACAAGAUAAGCAACUGCUUAUUUGACUCACAGCCAAGCUUCCUCUAGAAGCCUCUCAGAUGUGCCUACCCUUGUGCCACUUCACUGACAGGAUAAAAGAUGGGCUAUUCUGUCAGGCAGGUUUUUUAACAGGUUAGGUGAUAGAUACCUUAUCAUUUGGUCAUUGAGCUGAGAACUGGCACAAGAAGCAAGAGAAUACCGCCAGAAGAAAGAUGGAACAAAAUGGCCUUUUUCAGCAAAGACUUGUUAGAUUUGCUCAGGUACCUCAUCUGGGCUCCACCCUAAUUACGAACUGCUAGCAUAUGCCUCAUUUUCCCUUCACCAAGCCUUGGUGUUCAUACUGAUGCCAAGGCUGACACAAGUAGCUGACUCCUACUGACCUGUGCUUGGCAUAGCUGACUUGGGGCAAAGCUGGUGUUUCAAACCAUCCAGCUGUAUGAUUAAAUACAAGUGCUCCACAGGCACACAACUUUUACCCGCCCAACUUAAAAGAAUUCUUCUGUUCUGAAUCAUGCCAAUAUUCCUGCAUGGAGAAAAGUGUAUCUUAUCUCUCACCUUCUCAAAGCAUAAAUUAAAUUAACAAGAGAUCAACAUGCUUCAGCGGACAAUCGGAUUUAUGAUACUUGAGCUUACACUGAUGGUCCAUAUGAGAUAAGCCAUUAGGAUACAGUGAUUAAGGCUGAACACACAAUGAAGUACAGGAAUUUAGCCAGAGGAGUCAAGGUGGGAAGGUUAAACUAAAUGCAUAAUACAAAGUGAAAGCUAAUUGAAGAACUAUCAGUCAAGGACUUACACCUACAGUUGUUUUUUUGGUUUUGUUUUGUUUUGUUUUUUGGGGGGCUGCACUUUGUGUAUUAUAUAUUUGCUUCAUUGCUAGCCACUACAAUUUUUUCAUUUUUUAAAAAGCAGCUGAAGACACAGAAGUGCUGUGAUACAUCUUUGCUUGUAUUAGAUAAACUAACCAAAAAAUAACACUCUUAAAGAUUGUGUUGGAGAAAAGUAAAUUUCUGCAAGACCAGAUCUUAGAAAGCCCCUCGAAAUAUCUCAGAAUCAUUCUCAAAUACAUUUUCAAGAAAAAGCCACCAUCCAGUUUAAAUGCUGUCAGGAAAUGGCAAACAAAUUUCCUGGCAUUAAAAAAUGAGCGCUACUGCCAAAUUCUCUCCUCCUCUAGGUUUUCAACGACAGCGCCUGGCAGCACAAAGUGCCAAGUCCAUUGCAAUCUCUAAUGUAGACAAAAUGAAACUGAUAUUCGUAGAGAUGAAUAAUAAACCUCACUACACAGAGGUUACAGACCCACCAUGCCGAUACAAAUAUUGGUCUAAGUUUUGCUGCAGAUGUACGAAGCCACUUAGUACUGUACUUGUGAUUAGUUACGCUAUUUGUCUUGAUAAGUCUUCUAUCCCCAGUCACAUAUAAUUCUGGUCAGUUAUCUUCCUUAAUAACUGAGAAAUAUUAUAUACCCAUUAACUCUGCCAGUAUUCAAUACAAGUUGGAUAGAAGUAAAUGAUGCAACAGCUCCCACAGCAAAGUUACUUCUAGAGUCACUGAUAGCCUAAUGUGGUCUUCCUGCUGCUUUAGGUGAACAGAUGAGAGUCACAGCAAACAAUAUGACUAUUUGUUCAGCAAAGAGGCUUUUGAGUGGCACAUGCAUACAGAAAUUUUCUAUCAAACUGCCUCCCGUAUUCUGCUAAAAUAGCUAUUAUUGAAGAGGGAAAACUUCCUCUCAGUGUGUUGCUAAUGGCCUGAUACAAUACAAGGACUGACAAGUCAAGUAAUCCAGGACAGUCAAAAUACUAAAACCUGGCUCUAUACUCAUCAGGGAGGAGAAAUAACAAUAACACAGACUAUUUAAAACAUACACACAGCCCAUCAACUCCAGUACAGCAAGCUGUUAAGUGUUGAGCUGCGAUGUUUCAUCCUUCAGGAAUAGCAUCAGGUCUUCAGUACUUGCCUGUAUCCGUUUCAGCAAGUAGCAAGUCAGCUACUCUGAAUGGAGGGCAGAGCAACUGAAAGAAAACUAUCUGCACUGCAGCAGACAAAUGCAAUUGCUACUGUAUGAAUCACCAGAAGGAUAGUUUCACAAGAGAAGAAAAAACAACAAAUACAGAAAAAUGUUAGCUUUAAUUACUCUUAAACCCAAGUAUCAAGAAUGGAUUGUAUUUCCUAGGUUAUAAAAGUAACAUUGGUAUUUUGAAGUAAC